GUUACUUUGGCAGAUUAGUGCGAUUGAUUUAGAAUCAUUUUAUGUAAAUUUUUUACAGGUAAUA
RNAcentral lists this transfer RNA (64 nucleotides) under Chauliognathus opacus. RNAcentral describes it as "tRNA-Leu". The record is from RNAcentral. Lineage: Eukaryota; Metazoa; Arthropoda; Insecta; Coleoptera; Cantharidae.